Molecule: ribosomal RNA, 723 nt
Filed under: Bacillus sp. (in: firmicutes)
Lineage: Bacteria; Bacillati; Bacillota; Bacilli; Caryophanales; Bacillaceae
Description: bacterial SSU rRNA
Rfam family: Bacterial small subunit ribosomal RNA
Source: RNAcentral
AGGAUGAACGCUGGCGGCGUGCCUAAUACAUGCAAGUCGAGCGAACUGAUUAGAAGCUUGCUUCUAUGACGUUAGCGGCGGACGGGUGAGUAACACGUGGGCAACCUGCCUGUAAGACUGGGAUAACUUCGGGAAACCGAAGCUAAUACCGGAUAGGAUCUUCUCCUUCAUGGGAGAUGAUUGAAAGAUGGUUUCGGCUAUCACUUACAGAUGGGCCCGCGGUGCAUUAGCUAGUUGGUGAGGUAACGGCUCACCAAGGCAACGAUGCAUAGCCGACCUGAGAGGGUGAUCGGCCACACUGGGACUGAGACACGGCCCAGACUCCUACGGGAGGCAGCAGUAGGGAAUCUUCCGCAAUGGACGAAAGUCUGACGGAGCAACGCCGCGUGAGUGAUGAAGGCUUUCGGGUCGUAAAACUCUGUUGUUAGGGAAGAACAAGUACGAGAGUAACUGCUCGUACCUUGACGGUACCUAACCAGAAAGCCACGGCUAACUACGUGCCAGCAGCCGCGGUAAUACGUAGGUGGCAAGCGUUAUCCGGAAUUAUUGGGCGUAAAGCGCGCGCAGGCGGUUUCUUAAGUCUGAUGUGAAAGCCCACGGCUCAACCGUGGAGGGUCAUUGGAAACUGGGGAACUUGAGUGCAGAAGAGAAAAGCGGAAUUCCACGUGUAGCGGUGAAAUGCGUAGAGAUGUGGAGGAACACCAGUGGCGAAGGCGGCUUUUU